AUUGAACGCUGGCGGCAUGCUUUACACAUGCAAGUCGAACGGCAGCGCGGGCUUCGGCCUGGCGGCGAGUGGCGAACGGGUGAGUAAUGCAUCGGAACGUGCCCAGUAGUGGGGGAUAGCCCGGCGAAAGCCGGAUUAAUACCGCAUACGACCUGAGGGUGAAAGCGGGGGACCGAAAGGCCCCGCGCGAUUGGAGCGGCCGAUGUCGGGUUAGGUAGUUGGUGGGGUAAAGGCUUACCAAGGCGACGAUCCGUAGCUGGUCUGAGAGGACGACCAGCCACACUGGGACUGAGACACGGCCCAGACUCCUACGGGAGGCAGCAGUGGGGAAUUUUGGACAAUGGGGGCAACCCUGAUCCAGCCAUGCCGCGUGCGGGAAGAAGGCCUUCGGGUUGUAAACCGCUUUUGUUCGGGAAGAAAUCCUCUGGGCUAAUACCCCGGGGGGAUGACGGUACCGGAAGAAUAAGCACCGGCUAACUACGUG
RNAcentral lists this ribosomal RNA (484 nucleotides) under uncultured bacterium. RNAcentral's name for it is "partial 16S ribosomal RNA". It matches the Rfam family "Bacterial small subunit ribosomal RNA", at positions 28 to 507 of the family's 1533-position model. The record is from RNAcentral.